GGUUAACCGAAUAGGGAAGCCGUAGAGAAAUCGAGUCCGAAUAGGGCGUUUUUAGUCGCUGGGUGUAGACCCGAAACCAAGUGAUCUAUCCAUGGCCAGGAUGAAGGUGCCGUAACAGGUACUGGAGGUCCGAACCGACUAGUGUUGCAAAACUAGCGGAUGAGCUGUGGAUAGGGGUGAAAGGCUAAACAAACUUGGAAAUAGCUGGUUCUCUCCGAAAACUAUUUAGGUAGUGCCUCAAGUAUUACCGUCGGGGGUAGAGCACUGUUUAGGCUAGGGGGUCAUGGCGACUUACCAAACCUAUGCAAACUCCGAAUACCGAUGAGUACAGCUUGGGAGACAGAGCACCGGGUGCUAACGUCCGGACUCAAGAGGGAAACAACCCAGACCGCCAGCUAAGGUCCCUAAAAUUGGCUAAGUGGGAAACGAAGUGGGAAGGCUAAAACAGUCAGGAUGUUGGCUUAGAAGCAGCCAUCAUUUAAAGAAAGCGUAAUAGCUCACUGAUCGAGUCGUCCUGCGCGGAAGAUGUAACGGGGCUAAGCCAGUUACCGAAGCUGCGGAUGCACAGUUUACUGUGCGUGGUAGGAGAGCGUUCUGUAAGCCUGUGAAGGUGCGUUGUAAAGCGUGCUGGAGGUAUCAGAAGUGCGAAUGCUGACAUGAGUAGCGUUAAAGCGGGUGAAAAGCCCGCUCGCCGUAAGCGCAAGGUUUCCUACGCAACGUUCAUCGGCGUAGGGUGAGUCGGCCCCUAAGGCGAGGCAGAGAUGCGUAGCUGAUGGGAAACAGGUCAAUAUUCCUGUACCGAUUGCAAGUGCGAUGUGGGGACGAAUCUUAAUAGGUGAUCCGGGUGUUGGAUGUCCCGGUUUAGACAGAAGUAGGCGUGUGUCAGGCAAAUCCGGCACACAUAUACCGAGGCUGUCGAUCGAGCGAGCUUGCUUGCGAAGUCACUGAACGGGGUUCCAGGAAAAGCCACUAAGCUUCAGCUUGCAACGACCGUACCGCAAACCGACACUGGUGCGCGAGAUGAGUAUUCUAAGGCGCUUGAGAGAACUCUGGAGAAGGAACUCGGCAAAUUGACACCGUAACUUCGGGAGAAGGUGUGCCCUUGUAGUGUGAUGAGAACAUCUGAGCAUGAAAGGGUUGCAAUAAAUAGGUGGCUGCGACUGUUUAUCAAAAACACAGCACUCUGCAAACACGAAAGUGGACGUAUAGGGUGUGACGCCUGCCCGGUGCUGGAAGAUUAAUUGAUGGGGUGCAAGCUCUUGAUCGAAGUCCCAGUAAACGGCGGCCGUAACUAUAACGGUCCUAAGGUAGCGAAAUUCCUUGUCGGGUAAGUUCCGACCUGCACGAAUGGCGUAACGAUGGCCACACUGUCUCCUCCAGAGACUCAGCGAAGUUGAAAUGUUUGUGAUGAUGCAAUCUCCCCGCGGAAAGACGGAAAGACCCCAUGAACCUUUACUGUAGCUUUGUAUUGGACUUUGAACAGAUCUGUGUAGGAUAGGUGGGAGGCUUUGAAGUGAGGACGCUAGUUCUCAUGGAGCCAACGUUGAAAUACCACCCUGGUGUGUUUGAGGUUCUAACCUAGGUCCAUUAUCUGGAUCGGGGACAGUGCAUGGUAGGCAGUUUGACUGGGGCGGUCUCCUCCCAAAGCGUAACGGAGGAGUUCGAAGGUACGCUAGUUACGGUCGGACAUCGUGACGAUAGUGCAAUGGCAUAAGCGUGCUUAACUGCGAGACUGACAAGUCGAGCAGAUGCGAAAGCAGGACAUAGUGAUCCGGUGGUUCUGUAUGGAAGGGCCAUCGCUCAACGGAUAAAAGGUACUCUGGGGAUAACAGGCUGAUACCGCCCAAGAGUUCAUAUCGACGGCGGUGUUUGGCACCUCGAUGUCGGCUCAUCUCAUCCUGGGGCUGUAGCCGGUCCCAAGGGUAUGGCUGUUCGCCAUUUAAAGAGGUACGUGAGCUGGGUUUAAAACGUCGUGAGACAGUUUGGUCCCUAUCUUCCGUGGGCGCUGCAAGAUUGAGGAAGCCUGCUCCUAGUACGAGAGGACCGGAGUGGACGCACCUCUGGUGCAUCGGUUGUCACGCCAGUGGCAUGGCCGAGUAGCUAAGUGCGGAAGAGAUAACCGCUGAAAGCAUCUAAGCGGGAAACUCGUUCCAAGAUGAGUCUUGCCGGGGCCUCGAGCCCCCUGAAGAGUCGUCCGAGACCAGGACGUUGA
This 2212-nucleotide ribosomal RNA is filed under the name anaerobic digester metagenome. Its description in RNAcentral is "bacterial LSU rRNA". It matches the Rfam family "Bacterial large subunit ribosomal RNA", at positions 644 to 2856 of the family's 2925-position model. The record is from RNAcentral.